UUUCUCUAUUUCUCUCUUGGAACUCGAAGUCUUGAACCCUCUAGAAUUAAAAGAGAGAGGCUAAAAAAGAGUAAUUCUUUGUGCACCGUCUGUGGUGUAAAAAAUCUGACAUGGAGUGCACUGCUUCCUCCGAUUGGACCAUGUAACCACUGCUUUCCGACAUAUAUUUAAUGUCUGCAAAUUAAUAAUUUUGUUUAAAAAUUUUAUAUAAUGAAAAUACUCCUGUCC
RNAcentral lists this long non-coding RNA (228 nucleotides) under Elaeis guineensis (African oil palm). Its description in RNAcentral is "long non-coding RNA (EGUI_LNC005499)". Lineage: Eukaryota; Viridiplantae; Streptophyta; Magnoliopsida; Arecales; Arecaceae. The record is from RNAcentral.